CCUCCCCACCCAAAAGAAGGACACCAAAUUUCUGGCUGGAGGUUGAGACUGAUCUUAGCGUCAGGAUGCUCAAGAUUCUCUUGGGCUAUGUUCACUUGCCGGUGUGGUGCCCUGCAACGCUCGAGAUGGCGGCCGCGGUGCCAGGUAUUCAUCUCCAGUCUAUCUCUUGGUUUCAGUUAGUUCAAUUCCACGGGAAUCAGAUCGGCCUCUUUGGAGAUUGGACUCUGGACACGGCUUUCUUUUCAGCCUCGCUGGUGCGGCGCCGGCCGCCGGGUAAGGCCUCAGAUUCGUCGACAAGAUGAGCAGCACAUGGUUCGGGAGGGUGCCGGCCUAGACGUGCCCAACCCCGUCAUCUGAUUUCCCCAAGAACACAGCUAAAAAAGAAGUUGUGAAUCACAAGAAAUUGGGGUUGCGUCGCAGAGAGAGAACGAGAGGUUGAGAGUUUAGAUUUAUUUCAGUUCUUUUAUUCUGUGAUGAUAAUACGAAGUCCUGUUACUCCCUUUUACAGUAGUAUACACACUCGCUUCUAUAUAUGGUUUCCAUCUAGCGACCCAAAAGAGCACACAACGAAGAGCUCAUGCGACACAAGUCUAUCCUGUAGGUUCCUAUAGGGCGAUGAUGGCAGCGCCAAGGCCUAAGGGCAUCACGUAUGGACCAACCUACCUACUCAUUUCAGGCGAGGACUGAGGCUUGGUAGUUCUAAUGUUGGCUGAUUGGAUCAUAUCUAUCGAAUCAGUGUAAAAAUAUAAUGUCUCCUUGCUCGAGGUUUCUAGCAAAUGCAUUUUCAUGAGUGGUCCGUUGGUUUUAUUUCGAAGUUAAUUAUUUGUUCCUGUCGUUCAUUGAGAUUCAAAUCCUUCAAUUUAUUUUUGUUCACUCCUCAUGACACAGAUGUGGUGAUCAUGAAAAUGUUGCACAUAUGCAUCUCGAUUUCGAUUUGCAUGCUGCACAUAUGCAUCUCUAUAUUCCAAC
Molecule: long non-coding RNA, 969 nt
Filed under: Triticum aestivum (bread wheat)
Lineage: Eukaryota; Viridiplantae; Streptophyta; Magnoliopsida; Poales; Poaceae
Description: long non-coding RNA (TAES_LNC026356)
Source: RNAcentral